This 321-nucleotide ribosomal RNA is filed under the name uncultured Chloroflexota bacterium. RNAcentral's name for it is "bacterial SSU rRNA". It matches the Rfam family "Bacterial small subunit ribosomal RNA", at positions 28 to 351 of the family's 1533-position model. Lineage: Bacteria; Bacillati; Chloroflexota. The record is from RNAcentral.
GAUGAACGCUGGCGGCGUGCUUAAUACAUGCAAGUCGAACGAAGAGUGUAGCAAUACGCUCUUAGUGGCGAAUGGGUGCGUAACGCGUUGGUGACCUGCCCCGAAGAGGGGGAUAACAGUCCGAAAGGAUUGCUAAUACCGCAUGUGGUCCUCGGAUUUAGAAACCGAUGACUAAAGCCGCAAGGCGCUUUGGGAGGGACCUGCGUCCCAUCAGCUAGUUGGUGAGGUAACGGCCCACCAAGGCUACGACGGGUAGGGGACCUGAGAGGGUGGCCCCCCACAAUGGAACUGAAACACGGUCCAUACACCUACGGGAGGCUG